Molecule: ribosomal RNA, 465 nt
Filed under: uncultured bacterium
Lineage: Bacteria
Description: partial 16S ribosomal RNA
Rfam family: Bacterial small subunit ribosomal RNA
Source: RNAcentral
GACGAACGCUGGCGGCGUGCUUAACACAUGCAAGUCGAACGGAAAGGCCCUGCUUGCAGGGUACUCGAGUGGCGAACGGGUGAGUAACACGUGGGUGAUCUGCCCUUCACUUCGGGAUAAGCCUGGGAAACUGGGUCUAAUACCGGAUAGGAGCCAUUUUUAGUGUGAUGGUUGGAAAGUUUUUUCGGUGUAGGAUGAGCUCGCGGCCUAUCAGCUUGUUGGUGGGGUAAUGGCCUACCAAGGCGGCGACGGGUAGCCGGCCUGAGAGGGGGGACGGCCACAUUGGGACUGAGGUACGGCCCAGACUGCUAAGGGAGGCAGCAGUGGGGAAGAUUGCACAAGGGGCGCAAGGCUGAUGAAGCGAGGCCGCGUGGGGGAUGACGGCCUUAGGGUUGUAAAAUCCGUUCGCUAGGGAAGAAGCUUUGUGUGACGGUACCUAGAUAAGAAGCACCGGCUAACUACGUG